CAACGUUCCAGGUGUCCCCUUUCAUUAAGAGUUGGGGACAGUCCUUGGGGUUGUUGGGGUGCCCCUACAACGUUCCAGGUGUCCCCUUCCAUUAAGUGUUGGGGACAGUCCAUGGGGUGUUGGGGUGCCCCUACAAUGUUCCAGUUGUCCCCUUCCAUUAAGUGUUGGGGACAGUCCAUGGGGUGACCCUAUAGCAUUCCAGGUGUCCCCUUCCAUUAGCUGUUGGGGGACAGUCCUUGAGAUUUUGGGGUGAAUCUACAGCAUUCCAGG
This 270-nucleotide long non-coding RNA is filed under the name Gallus gallus (chicken). Lineage: Eukaryota; Metazoa; Chordata; Aves; Galliformes; Phasianidae. The record is from RNAcentral.